Molecule: non-coding RNA, 62 nt
Organism: Anoxybacillus flavithermus WK1
Lineage: Bacteria; Bacillati; Bacillota; Bacilli; Caryophanales; Anoxybacillaceae
Source: Rfam
CCUUCGGAGCGCCAAAGAAACGAGAGUAGCGUUUCGCGAAAUCGGGCGCGAUGAACAAGGAA